This 102-nucleotide small nuclear RNA is filed under the name Oesophagostomum dentatum (nodular worm). Lineage: Eukaryota; Metazoa; Nematoda; Chromadorea; Rhabditida; Strongylidae. The record is from RNAcentral.
GUUCAUUCCUGAACAUAUGCUAGAAUUUGGACAAUUCAGAGUAGAUUAGUUUGGCUCCUGCGCAACGAUGACAGGCGGAUAAACGAUUAAGCGAAGCGUCUG